Macaca fascicularis (crab-eating macaque) is the source of this 1649-nucleotide long non-coding RNA. The record is from Ensembl. Lineage: Eukaryota; Metazoa; Chordata; Mammalia; Primates; Cercopithecidae.
ACACACACACAUACACACACACACACAGAUACACUGCAAGAAUGACGCACAGCCUCAGAGCAAAAUUCAAUAACUCUCCUCUAGAGAGAGGGAAAGAGCAGAGAUGAGCAAGACAAAGUCAGAUACAGGAAGAGAAGGGGGAGUAGAUGUCAAUAAGAAAGUUGAAAACAAGAGGGGGCGUGAGCCAUGCCAGCAGGCAGUGGGGGUGGUAGGCAGAGGCCCAGCACGGGCUCACAGGGGCACCAAACCCUCCAAAAGGUGUACCACUCCACACAUGGCACCUGGGAGGGGCUCCAUAUACAUUAGCUGGGUGGAUGUGUGGAUGGGGGUGAUGGGUGGAUGAAGUAACCUAGAGACUGGAAACAAAACCCGACAGAGGGCUUGGAAAGAGAAAGUUCUGGAUGCCCUCUACUUCCCUUGUCCCUUUCACCCUUCUCUUUUUCUCUAGGAGGCUGAUGACACCCAUCAGGGAGGUGCCCUGCCCUCUGGCUUCCAGCUGGGCUUGGCCAGUGAGAUGGCCAGCAGGAGAUGAUGGGGGAGGAGAAUGAGAUAAGGAUGUUCAUUCCCCUGGGUCACCUCAGGCUGGGUGGUCCCUCUCCUAGAGGUCUCAGCUCCCGGCAAGGCAGCCCCUCUAGGUGACAGUUUGUCUCCGGCGCCUGGUCAUUCAUUACUUCCACCCUUCACCCCUUAGGGAGUAGGGGGUGGUCACAGCCUCACAACUAUUAGCUCUAGGUUUCUGCAAAAUCCACAUCCUGCAAUAUAGCACCUUUGUAAACAAACUCGCUUCAGAUUUUCGUACAUUUAAGUGUUCCAUCCCUUUCCUGUUAGGACCCUGACUAACACAAGCCCACAGUGAAAAAAAUAGACAGCAGACACACACACACACCCUCUGCUGGGACCCGUAAAGUGACAGCUACAUCUAGAAAGAACAGGGAGGAAUGAGAAGCUGAGAGGGAACAGGAAGGAAAGGAGACAGAAAGAGCAACUCAGGGCCCCGGGAGGCGGAAGGGAGAACGCACUGAUAGGAAGGGGAAGCAGGGACACAGGUGUUCCUGGCAACCUCAUUUUAAUGACAAAAGAGUAGAAACCAUCUAAAUGCCCAUUACUAGGAGAACAGCCAAUAAACCAUGACAGCUCUGUCUGCUGGAAUACUAUGCAGCUGACAAAAAGGCAGAUGGACAGCUUUGUGUAUUGAGAUGGAAGGAGAUCCCCAAAAUAUGCCAGGUCAAAGUCCCGCUGAAGAGCUCAAUGCAAUUUAUAUGGGAAAAAAAUGCCCUGAGCCAAAACCUACCAAAAAAAUCAGAUUCUAUCGGGGAAAAAUAUACAUUUUUAUGUUUAAAAAUAUGUAUAUAGCCGGGCACAGUGGCUCACGCCUGUAAUCCCAGCACUUUGGGAGGCCGAGGCGGGUGGAUCACCUGAGGUCGGGAGUUCGAGACCAGCCUGACCAACAUGGAGAAACCCCGUCUCUACUAAAAAUACAAAAUUAGCUGGGCGUGGUGGCGCAUGCCUAUAAUCCCAGCUACUAGGGAUGCUGAGGCAGGAGAAUUGCUCGAGCCUGGGAGGCGGAGGUUAUGGUGAGCCGAGAUCGUGCCAUUGCAUUCCAGCCUCGGCAACAAGAGUGAAACUCCGCCUCAAAAAAAAAAAAAAAA